AUGAAAAAAGACCUAUGGAAACACUCUAAGACAUGUAGGGGACAGCGGGAUGCGACAAAAACAAAAGGUGAGCGAGUGAGAUCAGCUGCAGCCUGUCUGAUACCAACCCCAGCAAAGUGCUCUGCUGGUAUUACAUCUCUCUUGCAAGGUAUGAGACAAGAUGAAAUCACAGAAACAAUUAUGAAGGACAGUUUGAUAUGUCUCUACGGUGAAUCACUUUAUACAAAGUGUGGUCAUGAUAAGUCACAGCAUCAGUACAUCAUUCAAAAAAUGAGAGAGCUGGCCAGGUUUAUGAUUGAAGUAAAGUCAAAAUCCAAAAAAGUGAGGAACCUUUCAGAGCUUUGUAACCCUGAGAACUUUCUCCUAGCCAUCACUGCUUGUAAAGAAGUGAGCAACUAUCAACCGGAUUUAAAUACGUUUAAAACCCCCUCUCUUGCUCUGAAGAUCGGAUACUCCCUGAAGAAAGCCUGUCAGCUUAGUUUGGGACAAAGUUUAAUGGCAGGGGACAGAGACACUGAGAAGAAGCUGAAAAACUUCAUCAAGCUAAUUGACAGUCAUUGGCGUACCAACAUUUCGAGUCAGGCCCUCAACACCUUGCAGCAGAGCAAGUGGAACAAGGGUGACACCAUCCCUCUUACGGAAGAUGUUGUGGCUUUACAAAAGCAUCUCAAAAGUGUGGAGCAGGUCUCAAAAGAAAAACUCAAAGAGAACGUGAAUGGCGCUGACUGGAAAAUCUUGGCUGAGACUUUACUCUGUCAAAUCAUUCUUUUUAAUCGGAGACGUGAAGGUGAGGCAUCCAAAUUGCUCCUUGCAUCAUACGUGAGUCGAAACGUGAAGCCUCCUAACGAAGAUGUGGUCAAAUCUCUGACUAAAUUAGAACGGGAGUUGUGCAAUGAGCUGACUCGAUUAGAGAUACGAGGGAAGAGAGGCAAGAAAGUGCCUGUCCUGCUGACGAAGGACAUGGUUGAGUCCAUGGACAUGCUGAAUGAAAGCAGGAGCAAAGUGGGCAUCGACGAAGCCAAUCCUUACGUUUUUGCAAGAGUGGGGGCUUUAACACACAUCCGUGGAUCAGACUGUUUGAGGAAGCUUUCAAAAACGUGUGGUGCAAAAGACCCCAGGAGCCUUACGUCGACCAAAUUAAGGAAACAAAUAGCAACUCUGAGUCAGAUCAUGAAUUUAAAAAACAAUGAACUUGACCAAUUGGCCAAAUUCCUGGGACACGACAUUAGAGUGCACCGUGAGUACUACAGACUGUCCGAAAAUACAAUUCAACUUGCAAAAGUUAGCAAGUUGCUUUUGUCUCUAGAAAAAGGAUCCGAUUGUUACAAAGGAAAAUCUUUGGAGGAGAUUACAUUUAGUACAGAGGGUGAGUAA
This 1374-nucleotide long non-coding RNA is filed under the name Sinocyclocheilus anshuiensis. RNAcentral's name for it is "lncRNA (ENSSANG00000034378.1)". The record is from RNAcentral. Lineage: Eukaryota; Metazoa; Chordata; Actinopteri; Cypriniformes; Cyprinidae.